Molecule: ribosomal RNA, 440 nt
Filed under: uncultured bacterium
Lineage: Bacteria
Description: partial 16S ribosomal RNA
Rfam family: Bacterial small subunit ribosomal RNA
Source: RNAcentral
CCUACGGGGAGCAGCAGUGGGGGAUAUUGCACAAUGGGGGAAACCCUGAUGCAGCGACGCCGCGUGAGUGAAGAAGCGCCUCGGCGCGUAAAGCCCUGUCAGCAGGGAAGAAAAUGACGGUACCUGAAGAAGAAGCCCCGGCUAACUACGUGCCAGCAGCCGCGGUAAUACGUAGGGGGCAAGCGCUAUCCGGAUUUACUGGGUGUAAAGGGGGCGCAGACGGCGAUGCAAGCCAGGAGGGAAAGCCCGGGGCCCAACCCCGGGACUGCUCUUGGAACUGGGUGGCUAGAGUGCAGGAGGGGCAGGCGGAAUUCCUGGUGUAGCGGUGAAAUGCGUAGAUAUCAGGAGGAACACCGGUGGCGAAGGCGGCCUGCUGGACUGCAACUGACGUUGAGGCCCGAAAGCGUGGGGAGCAAACAGGAUUAGAUACCCUUGUAGUC